This 915-nucleotide ribosomal RNA is filed under the name Triticum aestivum (bread wheat). RNAcentral describes it as "partial small subunit ribosomal RNA". Lineage: Eukaryota; Viridiplantae; Streptophyta; Magnoliopsida; Poales; Poaceae. The record is from RNAcentral.
AUGGAGAAGAACAGGAUGGAGAUGGAGAGCCUCGAGUCCAAGAUGCUGGUGGCCACCCAGUCCAUCGACACCACCACCUCCGAGAUCAUCAGGCUCAGAGAAUCCGAGCUGUUUCCUCAGCUACUUGAGCUGGUUGCUGGCUUGAUGAGCAUGUGGAGGGGCAUGUAUGAGUGCCAUCAGGUACAGACCCACAUGGUGCAGCAGCUUGAAUACCUGACCAUGAGCAGCAACCCAACCUCCAAUGACCACCGGCAGGCAGCGCUCCAGCUCGAGAUCGAGGUGGACAGGUGGUACUCGGCGUUCUGCAGCCUGGUUAAGUCCCAGAGAGAUUAUGUCUACUCGCUGACCGGCUGGCUUCGCCUCUCCCUGUUCCAAUGCCUUCACAACCCACUCAUGAAAGACAUCCAGAACUCCGACAUCUAUAGCCUGUGCGAGGAGUGGCAGCUGGCCAUCGACCGGAUCCCCGACAAGGUGGCCUCAGAAGGGAUCAAAACCCUCCUGUCGGUGAUCCACGCUGUGGUAGUCCAGCAGGCGGAGGAGCAGAAACAGAAGAAGAGGUCAGAUGCUGCAUUCAAAGACUUUGAGAAGAAGACAGAGGAACUGCGGUCUCUGGAGUCCAAAUACGGGCCAUACUCUGCCGCAGGCUAUGGAGAGAUGACGCGGAAGACACCAGUAGCAGAGAAGCGGGCGAAGGUGGAGGCCCUGAGGAGCAGGGCGGACGACGAGAAGAGCAAGCACGAGAAGAGCGUCGGGGUGACGAGGGCGAUGACCCUGAACAACCUCCAGACAGGCUUCCCCAACAUCUUCCAGGCGAUGACAGGCUUCUCCAGUGUCUGCAUGGAGGCGUUCGAGUCGGUGUACAACUUCAAGCGGAGCUUGGACCGGGCGCUCGACAUGAAGAGGCUGCUGACCUGA